RNAcentral lists this ribosomal RNA (511 nucleotides) under Salmonella enterica subsp. enterica. Its description in RNAcentral is "bacterial SSU rRNA". It matches the Rfam family "Bacterial small subunit ribosomal RNA", at positions 1004 to 1515 of the family's 1533-position model. The record is from RNAcentral. Lineage: Bacteria; Pseudomonadati; Pseudomonadota; Gammaproteobacteria; Enterobacterales; Enterobacteriaceae.
AGAUGCGGAAGUGCCUUCGGGAACUGUGAGACAGGUGCUGCAUGGCUGUCGUCAGCUCGUGUUGUGAAAUGUUGGGUUAAGUCCCGCAACGAGCGCAACCCUUAUCCUUUGUUGCCAGCGAUUAGGUCGGGAACUCAAAGGAGACUGCCAGUGAUAAACUGGAGGAAGGUGGGGAUGACGUCAAGUCAUCAUGGCCCUUACGACCAGGGCUACACACGUGCUACAAUGGCGCAUACAAAGAGAAGCGACCUCGCGAGAGCAAGCGGACCUCAUAAAGUGCGUCGUAGUCCGGAUUGGAGUCUGCAACUCGACUCCAUGAAGUCGGAAUCGCUAGUAAUCGUGGAUCAGAAUGCCACGGUGAAUACGUUCCCGGGCCUUGUACACACCGCCCGUCACACCAUGGGAGUGGGUUGCAAAAGAAGUAGGUAGCUUAACCUUCGGGAGGGCGCUUACCACUUUGUGAUUCAUGACUGGGGUGAAGUCGUAACAAGGUAACCGUAGGGGAACCUGC